UCUUUCAGGACAUUGGAGCAGGAAAACCUUAGCUGUUGCUGCUGUGGAGUCGUGAUUAUCCAGGCCCAACGGCUAGAAGUCAAAGUUUCCUAGAUGUGAGUUCACUAACUUGUGCGGGAGCGCCUACAUUACAAUCAUCUGAGAACUUGUUAUAAAUAUAGAUCCCUUGAUCCCAGCUCAAGAUUCUUCCCCCCAGCUCUAGACAUUUUGAUUCGGCCUUCAGGAGUGGGGACUGAGUGAUACUGAGUGAUAUUUGAUACUGAGACAGAAUUGUAUCAAAUUCCAUUUUAGGUUGUUCAUUUACUUAUAAUAAAAAUGGCUCUUCUCCUUUGA
Molecule: long non-coding RNA, 333 nt
Organism: Felis catus (domestic cat)
Lineage: Eukaryota; Metazoa; Chordata; Mammalia; Carnivora; Felidae
Exons: 2
Source: RefSeq, a predicted model, not a curated record